RNAcentral lists this non-coding RNA (1103 nucleotides) under Salpingoeca rosetta. RNAcentral describes it as "Salpingoeca sp. ATCC 50818 Eukaryotic small subunit ribosomal RNA". It matches the Rfam family "Eukaryotic small subunit ribosomal RNA", at positions 596 to 1440 of the family's 1831-position model. Lineage: Eukaryota; Choanoflagellata; Craspedida; Salpingoecidae. The record is from Rfam by way of RNAcentral.
NNNNNNNNNNNNNNNNNUUGCAGUUAAAAAGCUCGUAGUUGGAUUUCAUGCGGGGUUUCACGGUGUGUGGGUGGGGGAGGGUGUGUUUUACUUGCCCCGCACUGUUUGCGCUCUGCAGUUUAAUAUUCCCUGGUGGCGCCUUUGGCGCGUGCCCUUGAUUGGGUGUGUGUCAAGUCACGUAGUGGUGGGGCGCUGUUGGGGGCUUUACUUUGAAAAAAUUAGAGUGUUCAAAGCAGGCAGUCAUUUGAUUUGCUUGAAUAGAUUAGCAUGGAACAACGGAAGAGGACUUUUGGGCCUGUACUGUUGGCGUGUGGUGCGGGGGUGUGGAGUGAGAAACCGCAAGGUUUUCUUAUUCCUCCCUCACCACAUCGGGUCUGAAGUAAUGAUUAAUAGGGACGGUUGGGGGCACUGGUAUUUCGUUGUCAGAGGUGAAAUUCUUGGAUUUACGAAAGACCGCCGACUGCGAAAGCAUUUGCCAAGGACGCUUUCAUUGAUCAAGAACGAAAGUUAGGGGAUCGAAGACGAUUAGAUACCGUCGUAGUCUUAACCAUAAACGAUGCCGGCCAGGGCUCGGUGGGCAGCACAAAUGUUUCAAAGCAUGGUGGCGCCAUCGGGACCUUUAGGGAAACCAAAGCGUUUGGGUUCCGGGGGGAGUAUGAUCGCAAGAUUGAAACUUAAAGGAAUUGACGGAAGGGCACCACCAGGAGUGGAGCCUGCGGCUUAAUUUGACUCAACACGGGGAAACUCAGGGUUAGGGUUAGGGUUAGGGUUAGGGUUAGGGUUAGGGUUAGGGUUAGGGUUAGUUAGGGUUAGGGUUAGGGUUAGGGUUAGGGUUAGGGUUAGGGUUAGGGUUAGGGUUAGGGUUAGGGUUAGGGUUAGGGUUAGGGUUAGGGUUAGGGUUAGGGUUAGGGUUAGGGUUAGGGUUAGGGUUAGGGUUAGGGUUAGGGUUAGGGUUAGGGUUAGGGUUAGGGUUAGGGUUAGGGUUAGGGUUAGGGUUAGGGUUAGGGUUAGGGUUAGGUUAGGGUUAGGGCACGCGAACGUCAGCGCGCAUGAACGGACGUACAGGGUGAGGAGAACGGUACCGAGCAUGUCGUGGGUGAGGU